UACGGAGGGUGCAAGCGUUAUCCGGAUUCACUGGGUUUAAAGGGUGCGUAGGAGGGCAGGUAAGUCAGUGGUGAAAUCCCCGAGCUUAACUUGGGAACUGCCGUUGAUACUAUCUGUCUUGAAUACCGUGGAGAUGAGCGGAGUAUGUCAUGUAGCGGUGAAAUGCUUAGAUAUGACAUAGAACACCAAUUGCGAAGGCAGCUCGUUACACGAAUAUUGACUCUGAGGCACGAAAGCGUGGGGAUCAAACAGG
Molecule: ribosomal RNA, 253 nt
Filed under: uncultured bacterium
Lineage: Bacteria
Description: partial 16S ribosomal RNA
Rfam family: Bacterial small subunit ribosomal RNA
Source: RNAcentral